This 957-nucleotide ribosomal RNA is filed under the name uncultured Lysobacterales bacterium. Its description in RNAcentral is "bacterial SSU rRNA". It matches the Rfam family "Bacterial small subunit ribosomal RNA", at positions 9 to 955 of the family's 1533-position model. Lineage: Bacteria; Pseudomonadati; Pseudomonadota; Gammaproteobacteria; Lysobacterales. The record is from RNAcentral.
GAGUUUGAUCGUGGCUCAGAGUGAACGCUGGCGGUAGGCCUAACACAUGCAAGUCGAACGGUAGCAGGUCUUUCGGGAUGCUGACGAGUGGCAGACGGGUGAGGAAUACAUCGGAAUCUGCUCAGUCGUGGGGGAUAACGCAUGGAAACGUACGCUAAUACCGCAUACGACCUUCGGGUGAAAGCAGGGGAAUCUUUAGGGAUCCUUGCGCGAUUGAAUGAGCCGAUGUCGGAUUAGCUAGUUGGUAGGGUAAAAGCCUACCAAGGCGACGAUCCGUAGCUGGUCUGAGUGGAGGAUCAGCCACACUGGGACUGAGACACGGCCCUGACUCCUGCGGGAGGCAGCAGUGGGGAAUAUUGGACAAUGGGGGCAACCCUGAUCCAGCCAUACCGCGUGGGUGAAGAAGGCCUUCUGGGUUGUAAAGCCCUUUUGUUGGGGAAGAAAAACAACGGGUUAAUACCCCGUUGGUAUGACGGUACCCAAAGAAUAAGCGCUGGCUAACUUCGUGCCAGCAGCCGCGGUAAUACGAAGGGUGCAAGCGUUACUCGGAAUUACUGGGCGUAAAGGGUGCGUAGGUGGUUGCGCCAGUCUGUCGUGAAAGCCCUGGGCUUAACCUGGGAAUGGCGAUGGAAACUGUGCAACUAGAGUGUGACAGAGGGUGGUGGAAUUCCUGGUGUAGCAGUGAAAUGCGUAGAGAUCAGGAGGAACAUUCGUGGCGAAGGCGGCCACCUGGGUCAACACUGACACUGAGGCACGAAAGCGUGGGGAGCAAACAGGAUUAGAUACCCUGGUAGUCCACGCCCUAAACGAUGCGAACUGGAUGUUGGGUCCAACUUGGGAUUCAGUAUCGAAGCUAACGCGUUAAGUUCGCCGCCUGGGGAGUACGGUCGCAAGACUGAAACUCAAAGGAAUUGACGGGGGCCCGCACAAGCGGUGGAGUAUGUGGUUUAAUUCGAU